This is a long non-coding RNA of Epinephelus fuscoguttatus (brown-marbled grouper), 1289 nucleotides long. RefSeq lists it as uncharacterized. NCBI's taxonomy places the organism in Eukaryota, Metazoa, Chordata, Actinopteri, Perciformes, Serranidae. The record is from RefSeq and is a predicted model, not a curated record. The transcript is spliced from 3 exons.
CACAGUGAACGGUUUUGACUGUCGUGUUGUAGAAAUUUAAAACUCUGCCUUUUUAAGUAAAACUUGAGAUUAAACACUUUAUUACAACACUUGAUAUUAUUGUAACACAAACAUUUGGUAAUUUUUUUUUUCUUUUUCUUUUUGACAUGAAGUGGUUUUCCGGGACAAAUGGCUAACGCUAACGUUGGCUGCUAGCUUGUCAGAGACAGAGAAGACGCCUUUCUUGCUUCUUGGUGAUGCUAAGUGGUCAAAAACAGACUUUAAGGAUUUCCAGCAUCUUUCUGAGAGGAUUACUAAACAUGGAAGCAAGAGAACAACUUGGCAAAGUCGGGUUAGCUUGGCAGAGCUAACAGCUAAAUAGCCUAAUUGACAGCGCAUUCAAACGGGGAAUGGAGUGGUACGUUACCUGACGUAAUGACAGCGGGGUGAGGAGAACAGAGCUGUCAAGGUCCAUUGGAGGGUCAAGGACGGGCCAUGAACCUCUGGCUUUCCGCUCUGAGCGCCAGCCCUCCAGAGCCUUUGCCUUUAUCACAGCCACACUGCUACUUUGAUGACAAAUGCAUGUGUGUGCACACAGAAAAUACGCUUUGAAAACAGUCACACCCUGCAGGGAUGAUCAAAGAAGCAGGGAUCCAUCUUGACACAACACCCUCUCAUCUCGCCUCUAAAGGCAGCUCACAUUGAAUGGACAGAUUAAAAAACAUUGCUGCCAUGGUAGAUACAGACCAGCACUCACACUCCAUAAUUAUUAGCCUGAUGAUUGCACACGAGUGUUUUUGGCUGUUGCAUCUGGCUCCGCCGAUGAUGGAAGUUGUUGUAUGUAUCCACCCGCAUUUUCCUGGCUGUCAAAAAUUGCAUUCUGAGAAAGCCGUACUCCUCUCAUCAAGAGUCAUAAUUUACUUGUCAAAGCAGGGGUCCUCUCAGCGUGCAGGAGGCUCCCUGGGGUUAUAAUUGCGAGACGGUUUGGUUCUCCUGAAAUGCCUCCAGUCAAGAUGGAGCACAGGCCUGCGAGUCGGGCUUUGUGUACUCUUUCCUUUUAAAAGUAGCCAUUUACACAGAAAAUUGUAAACCACGUUUAAAAAAAAAUAUUUGACUAGCUUCACUAUACUUUCACCAUCAACUCCUUGUCAUCAGUGACUUUCAACACUGAUUACUUUGGUGCUCAGGGAGUCAUCUCUACGCUGACACAAGGUCCCCAUCUUGUGGAGAGAGUGUGAAAGUCUUUCUGUCUUUCAUGGGGGGAGAUGGUGCAGGUCAGCUCAGGUUCAUCUGAGAAAUCAUGUUGGAUU